RNAcentral lists this long non-coding RNA (6253 nucleotides) under Nicotiana tabacum (common tobacco). Its description in RNAcentral is "long non-coding RNA (NTAB_LNC006079)". Lineage: Eukaryota; Viridiplantae; Streptophyta; Magnoliopsida; Solanales; Solanaceae. The record is from RNAcentral.
CCGAUACAAAGGUGUUCUCCACCGAGCAACAGUUAACUCAGAGAAAAAGCGCCUAUCCAUUGCCAGCCUUCUUAGUCUAGCUCUAGGUAAAAAAGUUAGACCUGCACCAGCACUUGUCGAUGAACAACAUAUCUUGUCCUACAAAGAAGGAGGCUUCAGUGAUUUCCUUGACUUCAUUUCUGGAGAAGAUAUUGUGGAAGCAAAGUACAUAGACAAAUUAAAAAUAAAUCCAUGACGAUAAUAGUCCAUGGACAGCAGAGCAGGGCAUACACGAAUUCUCAUUUUUAGUCUUCACACUCCAUGUCAUACAAUCUGUUUGCACUUGUUAAAGUGCAAAGGUUAUAACCAGUAGCCAUCUUUCCUAUGUACUUUGUUCAAACAACGCUGGUGAGAGGUUCUUCUUUCUUCAACUUUUUUUUCUUUUUUUUUUGAAAAAGAAAAAUAAGGGCUCUUCUUUCUUCAUGCUAGGAGGCCUCACUGUGAAAAAUAAAUUUGGAACAGACUUUACCAGUCAUUCCAUCUUAAUUAGGGUUCCCUCAAGGUCACUUAUGAUUUAAGGAUCCAUAAUGUUUGCACCACCAACAAAAUUAAGAUGCAUCAUCAGGAUCUUCACUAAAUCCAAUGAUAUACCUCGGUUAGAAGCCAACAACUGGAAAAUUCAAAUAACUUCCAAAUUGGAAAAGAGUUCUAAUAUUCACAUCUAAUCCAGUUUAAGGCAAAUGUAGGUCAUACCAUAAGUUCAGAACUCAAGCCACAUUCAUCACUGGUAGACAGCUAGACGCGCUUAUAGGAGCAUGUGCUCUCACAGAAGGUAACAUUUUGAUGGUAAAUUGACACAGAAUGUUUAGCUAAGACCUUAAACUAAUUAGACAUGCAAAGAACAUUAUAUUGAUUUACAACCACAACCAUAUAAGGCCAAAAUGACCUUCCAACAAUACUAUCUGUAAACAUAGCGCAGAAAUAGCCAGCACAACACCUGCUCUCAUAUUAAUAUUAUCAUUUUUUUAUUCUUUCUGGUUUUGGGUUGAGAAGUUACCAUGGUAAACUAACUGGGACACAUGGCUUCAAACUCAAGUUCCAUGACUCAGGUAAUGCUCAGAUAUGAUACCCAAUGCUAACUACCAUAUAUUAUUGUUUAUCAGGGUAGACCUCGCUAAUGUUCAGACAUCCAAGCUGUUUUUUCUCCAACAUUAUCCACUCGUUUCAAACCUCCUUUAGACUAACUUGAAAUUAUUGCAAAAUCAAGGAAUAAAUUUUCAGGUGAAUACAUCUGAAUUUGUUUAACUAAAUUGGUUAUUAUACGUAGAUUUGAUUUCCUAUUGCACUAAAUAGCUGCAAUCAUCACCUUUGUUAAUCAGAUAACAUGGCAAACUUGCGAUGCUUUCCACCUCCUAAAAGGUUAUCUCCAUGCAUCAUCAGAAUCCGUUGUUAAUGUUUCUCUAAAUGAACAUCUGCAGUUUGUUUAUCUUAAUUGUUUCUAUUUACUUCCAAUUAAUUCAUUAUAUCACCACAUGACAUAUAGGAUUCAGUGAUCGUUAGUCCAUAAUUCAAGCUGAUAACUUAUCAUUUCCUCCAUAGAGUGCAAGCUUAUCUCUUUAGAAAUAAGCAUGAAAUAUCCUCAGAUCUCGUAACAAAACCGUCAUCUUUCCCCUAUUUUUCUCAAGAGAAAAUUUUACCUUGACAAUUGAUUUAAAAUAUAGCAUGAAUUUCUGUUUUUACCCAUUCAGAUAGGCAGUGAAAUCAAAUUCCUCCCUUUUUGGUGCAAUUAGUCGACUAUCGAGUUAUAUCUAGUCAACACCAAAUUAUAAUCUCAACUAUCCUUUUCUGUCCGGUUUUACUAAUUUCUCAAAGAGGAUAAUGGAAAACCAUUAAAGGCCAAAAAACAUCGGAUUAUUCAAGGAACAAGACGUGGUAAUCAAAUUUCAAGUGAUUAAUCAUUCAUUUUCCUCAGGGAAGAAAGGUAUAGGAUUUCUAAUUUUUUCAGCUGUUGACGCCAAUUUUUAGAAAUUCAGAUUCUAGUUCAAUUUUAAGCAUUUAAAAAUUAUGAAAUCGAAUUCCCUCGCUAAUUCAGUAUUAUAACGUAGUUAAACAAAUAAAAAUCAGCUAUUUGAAGUUGCUAAAACGAUUGCUCGAUUUCUUCUCGAUCUGAUGGUUAACUCUUAUGUUUGAUUUGCAUAUAAUCUCAAGAUAUACGAAUAGAAACAAAUAAACUUGCAGAUAUACAUGAAUCUAACUAUAAUUAGUAAAGAAUUUAAUACACAAAAAAAUCAUUAAAAAUACAGAAAAUUUCAACCGAUUCGAGGCACAAAAAAAAAACGCGGGAAAAACACUUACGAAGGGAAGUGAAAAUUGAUUCAAAAAAUUAGCCGUAACUCUCUGCCUUUUUCAUACGUCUCUGAUCUUCUCUGUCCCUACCGCUAAGCCUCUCCUCCAAUUUUACUUUUUUCUGAUUUUCAAUUUUCAGCGAAGGGGGCUUCGGAAAUUCGGAGAGAGGUGGAUUAGUUUCCUGCUCCGCGGGUUUACCGUAUGCCUUUCAAUUCUGGUCCUUUAGUUAGCCACGUGUCUAUCUGACGGCUCACGUUUUUAUAGAUUUUGGCGCAGUUUUUGAUUGUUUGCGAAGAUCAAAUUCAAAUAUAUUUAUUUUGUCGAAAAAAUUAAUUUUCAAUUAAUGCAGCAAACACCACCUAAUAAACAAUUUUAGAAAACAUUUCUAAAAGAUAAAAAAAAAUCACCAAGUUCCUAAGGGGCAGAAGUGGUCAACUUCCAGCGCACUGUCUUCUGGUCACUGUUUUCCAAUUAAUUUGAUUCUCUGUUUAAGGAAAAAAAAACUAUUGAACAUAUUGUUAAUCAUUACAACUAUCAUUACAUCUCAAAAUAUUUACAUCAUAUCAAAUUAAAUUGCUUAAUAAUAAAUGCUUUCAACUUGUUCUGAUCCCACUUUAUACAUCAAAAUUUCAUCAAUACCAUAUUUGUUAAUUUGUAUGAAAUUAAAAGGAAAUUUUUGUUUUAAUUAGGAACGACGAGAAGAUGAUAGAGAGGAAAGAGAAAAAAAAAAAAAAAAAAAAAAAAAAAGAGAAGGUAUUNNNNNNNNNNNNNNNNNNNNNNNNNNNNNNNNNNNNNNNNNNNNNNNNNNNNNNNNNNNNNNNNNNNNNNNNNNNNNNNNNNNNNNNNNNNNNNNNNNNNNNNNNNNNNNNNNNNNNNNNNNNNNNNNNNNNNNNNNNNNNNNNNNNNNNNNNNGAAAGGAAAAAAAGAAAAAAAAAAAAAAAAAAAAAGAAAAGCAGGAUUUGAAAAUGUUUCUAGAAAAAUCAUUAAAAACAGUUGUAUGCCAGACAAUCCUCCUGCUCCUUAUCACAAGAUACGGUUUAAAUUGAAAUAGGAAUAUUUUCAACGCAAAGAAAGUUCUUAAAAGCUAAAACCGUUAAAAAUUCUUUUUAUAAAUAAAACAAAAAUAUUUGGAAACUUCAGAGAGUAAAUAAAUAACAAUUGAGAGCAGCAUGCAUGCAAUGGAUAUGUUGUAGACAAGUUUUUCCUCGAGUGAGCUGGAGACAGUGGAGAUUUGCACUUGAAUCCAAAACAGAUGCUUCCACUUUUCACCUGAAAAUGCCAAAUUCUACGUGUCCUAAUAUAAGAUAAUGUUGAAACAUUAAAAUACCACUUAUUUUCAUCAGCUCUACACAAGAAUUCUAAAACACAUACACAGAGCCACACAUGCUCACAUAUAUAUAUACCAUAUAUUCUAUACACAUAUUUGUUUGCAUUUAUUCAUGGUUGAAUAAUUAAAUUUUAAUUUUAUAUUUAUUUAAAUUGACUUUAUGCGAGCAAAUUGCAGCCUGAAAUUUGAACGGUUGGACGAAUUUUUUAGAGUUAGCUCGCUCUAGGAGCAAUUGGAUAAGAAAAACAAUACAAAAUAGCCUUCAACUGCUUUAAAAAGAACUUCCCCUGAAUGAACAGUUAACUAUACAAUGUGAUUCACAAGUUAAAAGCAUUUAUCAUCUAAUUAACAUAUAGAAUAGGGCUUUUUUUAGCUCGUGCCAGAAACUAUUUAUAUUUGAUAACAAAAAAAGUAUAUAAAAUUUGUAUAAUUUUGUAUAUAACAUACAGAAUGUACAUAUAUACAAAAGAUAUACAAAAAAAUAUAUUUUUUCGGCUAUUUAUUGAAAGCGGCUAUAUAGUAGCAUUUUUCCUCUAAUAAAUACAUUUUGAAGAAAAAUAAAAGUUGUGUUCGUGUUGGUCUCUUAUCAACUAGAGUAUAAAUCACAGUAAAUAGCAUAAUUUUAAAUCUAUUUAUAUUAAUAUUUUUUAAAAAAUUAAUAUAUGUAACUGAAUAUGAAAUAAAUAUUAUGAAAAAAGAAAUUUCUUUUUUUCAGAAUUUUUUUUUAAAAAUGUAUUUGUCCAUGAAAUUUUACAAGUUUUUGAAAUUUUUUCGAAAAUAAGUUUUUCAAAAAUCAAAAAGUGGUUUUGAACACUUUUUCAAAAUGUUCCAAAAUACUUUUUUCCUCACUAACAAAACUACAAUAUUUAUGUUUAAAGGGAAAUACAUGUUCAAACAUAAUUUGAAAUACCAUUUUUCAAUUUAAAUCUAAAUGAGUAUUUUUUUUCAAAAAUUACAAUUCUUAUCUUCAAACGCCUACUUAAAAUUCUGUAUUUUUUCAAGUGGAAAAUCUUUUCCUGUUCUCACAUUGGCACAGAUAUUAUAUUUAGUAUCUCUUCUCUCUUGAUUAUAUAAAAGUUUUGAACAUAUAUAAAGAUCAAAAAGGAUUAAAAAAGAAUUAUUUCCUUGACCAGCUAUAAAAAUUAACUUACAACAGAUACUUCAAGCUAUGAAUUAUUCUCACAUAUAUAUGAGAAUCAAUUCCUAUUAAAGCAGAGUUUCUUCCAAUAAAUAAAUUAAUAAGACAAACAUCUCAAAAUUUAUCACCUGCUGUAUCCCAGUAGCAACGCCAACAAAUAAAAAUCAGUUUAACUACUUCAAAAUUAUUAGAAAUCACAAAGUAGGAGCGCCAUAGAUAAAUUCUCAUGCGAUGGAAAUUAUUAAUAUUGUUACCUUUUAGAAUUGCUAGACUUGACAUAAUCAAAGAUAAAUUGACAGAAAUUCAUGAUUAAUUUGCAUUUUUGGAAAACAGAAUGUAUAUGUAAAUGCUAAAGAAUAACCGAAUAAACAUGUGUAAUUGGCAAUCAAGUCAAAAAUAAGAAAGAGAAAGUGAAAGUAGUCAACAAAAAAGUUAAAAGUAAAAAGUUUAAAAUGAUAGAAACUAAAAGAACUCAAUUAUAUCCAACAGAAUGUAUAUCUUAUAUACAGCAAAUUAAAUGAAAGAACGGUUUCAAGAUAAGACUUGAAAUUAAUUAACUCAAAAAACAAGGAUUCAUUUUCGAUACAAAGUUUUACCGAAGUACAAAAUUUGUCAAUGCUCUGCUUAAGCUUUGGCAGCUAAACUUCAAGUUCAAUGAUAUAAAUUGUGUAGAAACACAGUAAACUUAAUUAGGUAUAAACGUGCGAGAAGAACGUCGACAUUUUAUUCGAAAGCAUCCAUACACUACAACCUCAGAGGAAAAGGAAAAGGAAAAGGCAAGAUCGAGAUUAGGGAAUUAUAUAUAAAAUGAUAGCUAGAAGUGGAAAUUAAGUCGUAAAUGCAGGUUUUAUAAUCCUCUAAAGAUACCAAAAACAUGCCAAUUCCAUGCAAACGUACCAUGCAUAAGUAUUUGUCACUGUUUCUCAAGAAUCAUCUUUAGCAGAAUUUAUCAAGACGUUGAUGUUGCUUAAUGCUGUAGUGCUUUAAUUUGAUGCUGAAUACUUCUGUUUUCCUUCUUCCUCACUAUUAUUUUCUCACCACCUUAGCAAGAGUACUUUAUAUAAUAUUCUCCUGCUUCCUUCACAUUACAAAGAAUUUAUAUAGGCUCAUGGCUGUACUCUUAGGCUGUACUUUGCCCAACAGUGGAGUAACUACAAAAAUAAAGAGGACUCAGCAACCCACGCGUACAAGCCCUACCCUACCAAAAGAAAACAAAACACACACACGAAAAAAAAACUCUCACGUUUAAUUCUAAUGGUAUAUACUAAUCAAGAUACUCCAAUAAGAAAAAGAAUAAAUGGAAUUAACAAAAUGAACAGUGGUAAAAAUAGAAAAAGGAGCAUGUGUAAACGGUGUGUUGCUUACGAAAGAGUUGAAAUUCUUGAAAAUUGCUGGCUACAGAUAUUAGCUAGAUUCCUGCAUGGUCUUGGAUGAUGUUUCAAUGUCCUUUAGUGCGUUAUAAU